GAUGAAGAACGUAGCGAAAUGCGAUACUUGGUGUGAAUUGCAGAAUCCCGUGAACCAUCGAGUCUUUGAACGCAAGUUGCGCCUCAAGCCAUUAGGUUGAGGGCACGUCUGCCUGGGCGUCACAUAUCGUUGCCUGAUGCCAGUUUCCUCGUGAUGGGUGACUGUGCAGGGCGAAUGAUGGCUUCCCGUGAGCAUUGUUGCCUCAUGGUUGGUUGAAAAUUGAGUCCUUGGUAGGGAGCGCCGUGAUAGAUGGUGGUUGAGUGACGAACGAGACCCAAUCAUGUGAGACCCCUACCGAAUUUGGCCUUCAUGACCCACAUGCGUCUUUGGAACGCUCAUGACGAGACCUCAGGUCAGGCGGGGCUACCCGCUGAGUGUAAGCAUAUCAAUAAGCGGAGGA
This 400-nucleotide unclassified non-coding RNA is filed under the name soil metagenome. RNAcentral's name for it is "partial contains 5.8S ribosomal RNA, internal transcribed spacer 2, and large subunit ribosomal RNA". The stretch from base 1 to 122 matches the Rfam family "5.8S ribosomal RNA", at positions 35 to 154 of the family's 154-position model. The record is from RNAcentral.